RNAcentral lists this ribosomal RNA (485 nucleotides) under uncultured bacterium. RNAcentral describes it as "partial 16S ribosomal RNA". It matches the Rfam family "Bacterial small subunit ribosomal RNA", at positions 27 to 507 of the family's 1533-position model. The record is from RNAcentral.
GACUGAACGCUGGCGGCAGGCCUAACACAUGCAAGUCGAGCGGAUGAAGGGAGCUUGCUCCUGGAUUCAGCGGCGGACGGGUGAGUAAUGCCUAGGAAUCUGCCUGGUAGUGGGGGAUAACGUCCGGAAACGGGCGCUAAUACCGCAUACGUCCUGAGGGAGAAAGUGGGGGAUCUUCGGACCUCACGCUAUCAGAUGAGCCUAGGUCGGAUUAGCUAGUUGGUGGGGUAAAGGCCUACCAAGGCGACGAUCCGUAACUGGUCUGAGAGGAUGAUCAGUCACACUGGAACUGAGACACGGUCCAGACUCCUACGGGAGGCAGCAGUGGGGAAUAUUGGACAAUGGGCGAAAGCCUGAUCCAGCCAUGCCGCGUGUGUGAAGAAGGUCUUCGGAUUGUAAAGCACUUUAAGUUGGGAGGAAGGGCAGUAAGUUAAUACCUUGCUGUUUUGACGUUACCAACAGAAUAAGCACCGGCUAACUUCGUG